GCCGAGAAAAGCCUCUAGCGAGCUUUCACACGGCCCGUACCCCAAACCGACACAGGUGGUCAGGUAGAGAAUACUAAGGCGAUCGAGAUAACUAUGGUUAAGGAACUCGGCAAAAUGCCCCCGUAACUUCGGGAGAAGGGGGGCCUCGUUUGGUGAUCACUCUUGCAGUGUGAGCUGGGUGGGGCCGCAGAGACCAGUGAGAAGCGACUGUUUACUAAAAACACAGGUCCGUGCGAAGUCGUAAGACGAUGUAUACGGACUGACGCCUGCCCGGUGCUGGAAGGUUAAGAGGACCGGUUAGCCACUUGUGGCGAAGCUGAGAAUUUAAGCCCCAGUAAACGGCGGUGGUAACUAUAACCAUCCUAAGGUAGCGAAAUUCCUUGUCGGGUAAGUUCCGACCUGCACGAAUGGCGUAACGACUUCUCAGCUGUCUCAACCAUAGACUCGGCGAAAUUGCAUUACGAGUAAAGAUGCUCGUUACGCGCGGCAGGACGAAAAGACCCCGGGACCUUCACUACAGCUUGGUAUUGGUGUUCGGUUCGGUUUGUGUAGGAUAGGUGGGAGACUGUGAAGCGCUCACGCCAGUGAGUGUGGAGUCGUUGUUGAAAUACCACUCUGAUCGUAUUGGACCUCUAACCUCGGACCAUGAUCUGGUUCAGGGACAGUGCCUGGUGGGUAGUUUAACUGGGGCGGUUGCCUCCCAAAAUGUAACGGAGGCGCCCAAAGGUUCCCUCAGCCUGGUUGGCAAUCAGGUGUCGAGUGCAAGUGCACAAGGGAGCUUGACUGUGAGACUGACAGGUCGAGCAGGGACGAAAGUCGGGACUAGUGAUCCGGCACCGGCAAGUGGAAGCGGUGUCGCUCAACGGAUAAAAGGUACCCCGGGGAUAACAGGCUGAUCUUCCCCAAGAGUCCAUAUCGACGGGAUGGUUUGGCACCUCGAUGUCGGCUCGUCGCAUCCUGGGGCUGGAGUAGGUCCCAAGGGUUGGGCUGUUCGCCCAUUAAAGCGGCACGCGAGCUGGGUUUAGAACGUCGUGAGACAGUUCGGUCUCUAUCCGCCGCGCGCGUUAGAAACUUGAGGAAGGCUGUCCCUAGUACGAGAGGACCGGGACGGACGAACCUCUGGUGUGCCAGUUGUUCCACCAGGAGCACCGCUGGUUAGCUACGUUCGGAAGGGAUAACCGCUGAAAGCAUCUAAGCGGGAAGCCUGUUCCAAGAUGAGGUUUCUCACCCCCUCGAGGGGGUAAGGCCCCCGGCAGACCACCGGGUUGAUAGGCCAGAACUGGAAGCCAGGUAACUGGUGCAGGUGACUGGUACUAAUAGGCCGAGGACUUACCACAA
RNAcentral lists this ribosomal RNA (1338 nucleotides) under Rhodococcus sp. NCIMB 12038. RNAcentral's name for it is "bacterial LSU rRNA". It matches the Rfam family "Bacterial large subunit ribosomal RNA", at positions 1607 to 2925 of the family's 2925-position model. The record is from RNAcentral. Lineage: Bacteria; Bacillati; Actinomycetota; Actinomycetes; Mycobacteriales; Nocardiaceae.